UUCCUACUUCACCAGAUAACCUGCCCCCAACACCACUCCAGCUUCUGCCAGACAGAUGGAACUCUCCAACAUGAAAAUCUGCUCAGCCAUUCCAACAAACGGGACUGCCUGAGGUUGUCCGAAGGAUGCUGAGGAAAAAGCCAAGGACUGGAAGCGCUCUUACCCCAAGAUGGAGAUUUCUCAUUGGUCAGUACAAUGAAGGUUGAUGGCAUGAUCGUCCACCUCGCAUCAAAAUAUAACUAUUCAUCGGUGUGCUGUUAUCAAUCAGAGGUUUCCAAAUAUGAGUUCUCCAACUCAAUGAAAAGUAGCUGGUUCCAGGCAGACAAGCAUCUGGGAACUCCCUAAGUGUGCAUGAUAUGUCUCCAGAGAAAGUUGCUUCAGCAUUUUUUUUGGAAUACUUCUCCCUACAGUAUUCUCCAGACUCUAAACUACUAGAUAGGUUCCUAAGUUCAUUCAGAUCUUUCUCAUGUCUGAAUUCUUGGUCCUUUUCCCACCCUCUGGCUCCACAAAUAAAGAAGACAUAAUAAUAA
Molecule: long non-coding RNA, 530 nt
Organism: Pteropus alecto (black flying fox)
Lineage: Eukaryota; Metazoa; Chordata; Mammalia; Chiroptera; Pteropodidae
Exons: 3
Source: RefSeq, a predicted model, not a curated record